GGGUCAGUAGGUUGGUCGUGCCACCGGUACGUACUGGUCUCACUGAUUCCUCCUUCCUGAAUAACCGUAAUUCCAUUAAUUUGGUGUUGCGGGGAAACAGGACUGUUACUUUGAAAAAAUUAGAGUGUUUAAAGCAAGCUAACGCUUGAAUACAUUAGCAUGGAAUAAUGAAAUAGGACGAUCGAUCCUAUUUUGUUGGUUUCUAGGAUUGACGUA
Molecule: ribosomal RNA, 216 nt
Filed under: Glomeromycotina sp.
Lineage: Eukaryota; Fungi; Glomeromycota
Description: partial small subunit ribosomal RNA
Rfam family: Eukaryotic small subunit ribosomal RNA (bases 40-216)
Source: RNAcentral